RNAcentral lists this ribosomal RNA (253 nucleotides) under uncultured bacterium. RNAcentral's name for it is "partial 16S ribosomal RNA". It matches the Rfam family "Archaeal small subunit ribosomal RNA", at positions 474 to 727 of the family's 1478-position model. The record is from RNAcentral.
UACCAGCACCCCGAGUUGUCGGCACGAUUAUUGGGCCUAAAGCAUCCGUAGCCUGUUCUGCAAGUCCUCCGUUAAAUCCACCCGCUUAACGGAUGGGCUGCGGGGGAUACUGCAGAGCUAGGAGGCGGGAGAGGCAAACGGUACUCAGUGGGUAGGGGUAAAAUCCAUUGAUCUACUGAAGACCACCAGUGGCGAAGGCGGUUUGCCAGAACGCGCUCGACGGUGAGGGAUGAAAGCUGGGGGAGCAAACCGG